UCUGCGCCUUCCGAUGAAGCCCGUAAUCAAUUCAUCGCGCGCACCCACUGUGGUGUGCACUGUACCUAUAUUGUGGGGAUCCUUAACGGUGAUCCGCAGCUCACGUGAGUGAGUCCAGAGAUUAAAUAGGUAUGGAAGGUCCGCCUUCUAAGCUAUAAUCCAACCCGAGUCUUUGUUGACUUGGUAUUGUGGGAGCCUGCGGCUUAAUUUGACUCAACACGGGAAAACUCACCAGGUUAACCUUUGACCGUUACACGUCUGGGCCUGGUCUUUGCAGUGCUGGUUGAUCCAGUGCAACACCAGCUGGUACAGGGGACGUCUGUGGGCCGAUCCUGUGGCGAGUCCAUCAUCAGGUGGACCGUUGCAACGCACAGCAAGCGGUGGGCAGUCUGGAGCGAUUCUUCCAGGCAGCUUUUGGUAUAUGCUAACUCCGUGGGACACCACGCCUCCCCGAUAGGACCGUCACGGUUGAAGCGGGGGAUGGGACCUCUGCGGAGGAGAGAUUUGGUGCCAGACAUAAGAAGGAUUGACAGAUUGAGAGCUCUUUCUUGAUUUUAUGGGUGGUGGUAGAACGUCCUUGUGCCACAUACAGCGAUACGGGUCACCCACCGUUGAAACAUAGCUAGUCCACCUCCGUGGGCAACAUUCUUCUGUUGCUGAGAAUUGCACCCCACGGGUCGUUAUCAGCAGCCACACGUUCGGAUGAAGGUGUGGUUCACAGACUAGGUUAGAAUGGACUGAUGCUCGGUUAAAGAUAUAGUCGAACCUCUUGCGGAUACGCAUUGGUGUUGGUGGCAUGGCCCGUUCUUAGUUGGUGGGAGUGAUUUGUCUGCUUAAUUUGCGUUAACGAACGAGACCUUGACCUGCUAAAUAGCCCGUCCGACUUUGGUUGGACGCUGGCUUCUUAGAGGGACUUUUGGCUCAAGCCAAUGGAAGUACGAGGCAAUAACAGGUCGACCUUCACAGGCCUGUUGAAAUAUGGUUGAAUCUUGAAUUCGGCCCUGCCACUGGUACAGGGAACGCUUCCGAGCCCAUCCUGUGGCGAGUCUACGGACCGCCAAAACGCACGCAAAGUGGCGGAUCUGCGGUUAAAGUAGGUCUUGGUACGUGCUCAAUCCCCAAUUAUCAUUGGGUUGGGACCUUCAGCGCAAAGCAAAGGGUUCUAAAACGAUCGAAACACAUGCUUGUGUUCAGUUUGUUGGUUUGAUGCUGUGAUGCCCUUAGAUGUUCUGGGCCGCACGCGCGCUACACUGACAGAGCCAGCGAGUACAUCACCUUGGCCGAAAGGUCUGGGUAAUCUUGUUAAACUCUGUCGUGCUGGGGAUAGAGCAUUGCAAUUAUUGCUCUUCAACGAGGAAUGCCUAGUAAGCGCAAGUCAUCAGCUUGCGUUGACUACGUCCCUGCCCUUUUGACUAUCAGUGUGGGGGUCCGUGUAUUUCCCUCGCUUGGAAAACACAACCCCCUUACAAGGGGCACGGUAGGGUUUGAUAUAAGCCCCAAAGUUGAGCCUAGAUGAAAGUCUCGACAUCAGCUAUACCACUCAAAUCGUCGGGAAGGAGCUACACUGUAGUUCUAUCCGCAGCUGCAUAUGCCACAAGCAUGUAUAGCCCACAGACUAAUCAGUGGUAGACCUCUGAACCAGAGAGGUUUCAGUUAUAGCCGGUCGGUUCAUUUAACAGUGAUCCGAUGCAACGUUGUACACACCGCCCGUCGCUACUACCGAUUGAAUGGCUCAGUGAGGCCUUGGGACUGGCUCAGAGAGGUCGGCAACGACCACUCAGAGCCGGAAACUUGGUCAAACUUGGUCAUUUAGAGGAAGUAAAAGUCGUAACAAGGUUUUGUCCAGAGAGAUCCUUCUUUUGAAGCCUUCCACACAGCGACUCUAACCGUGUGUGCAGUCUAGAGAUAGGCGACGUCAUCCCUGUGCUGGAACGCUACUUAACGGUGGCGGAUCAGCAGCCAGGUUCUCCUGGUCCACAGAUUAGGUGGUGGCGGUCCCCGGGAACGCCCGUGGGAUGAAGAUAUAAUCGGUCCCCAUCGCCGUCGGUGGUCGAGCCACGUUCCGUAGGUGAACCUGCGGAAGGAUCAUUAUCGAGUUAGGGUCCUCUGGGCCCCAUCUCCAACCCUUGUCUACCUUACCAUGUUGCUUUGGCGGGCCCGUCUUUGCCCGGACCGCCGGAGGGUCUGCCCUCUGGCCUGCGCCCGCCGGUAGCCCCCAUAAAUUCGUCUAACAGUGAUGCCUAAGUCUCAAAAUAAUAACUAAAACUUUCAACAACGGAUCUCUUGGUUCUGGCAUCGAUGAAGAACGCAGCGAAAUGCGAUAAGUAAUGCGAAUUGCAGAAUUCCGUGAGUCAUCGAAUCUUUGAACGCACAUUGCGCCCUUUGGUAUUCCGAAGGGCAUGCCUGUUCGAGCGUCAUUAUCAACCCUCAAGCCCGGCUUGCUGUUGGGUCCCACCGUCGAGAAACACGGUGGACCCGAAAGAUAAUGGCCGAGUCCGAAUGGACCCCGGAUGCAUCGAGCUUUUCAGCACGUGUCUGGACGGUUCUCCGGCUCGGUCUUUAACCAAAUCUUCUCGUAUUGACCUCGGAUCAGGUAGGGAUACCCGCUGAACUUAAGCAUAUCAAUAAGCGGAGGAAAAGAAACCAACAGGGAUUGCCUCAGUAACGGCGAGUGAAGCGGCAACAGCUCAAAUUUGAAAUCUGGCUCCUUUGGGGUCCGAGUUGUAAUUUGUAGAGGAUGCUUCGGGUCAGGUUGCGGUCUAAUUCGCUUGGAACAGCGAGUCACAGAGGGUGAGAAUCCCGUCUAGGUCCGCGAGCGGCGCCCGUGUGAAGCUCCUUCGACGAGUCGAGUUGUUUGGGAAUGCAGCUCUAAAUGGGUGGUAAAUUUCAUCUAAAGCUAAAUAUUGGCCAGAGACCGAUAGCGCACAAGUAGAGUGAUCGAAAGAUGAAAAGCACUUUGAAAAGAGAGUUAAACAGUAUGUGAAAUUGUUGAAAGGGAAGCGCUUGCAAUCAGACUUGCGUGUAACGGUUCCCUCGGUCUCUUUUGACCGGGCUACUCCGCUAUAUUCAGGCCAACAUCGGUUCAGGUGGUCGGUAAAAGACCCCGGGAAUGUAUCUACCCUCGGGUCGACUUAUAGCCCGGGG
RNAcentral lists this ribosomal RNA (3144 nucleotides) under Verrucaria devensis. Its description in RNAcentral is "eukaryotic LSU rRNA". The stretch from base 2580 to 3144 matches the Rfam family "Eukaryotic large subunit ribosomal RNA", at positions 1 to 568 of the family's 3401-position model. Lineage: Eukaryota; Fungi; Ascomycota; Eurotiomycetes; Verrucariales; Verrucariaceae. The record is from RNAcentral.